GAUGAACGCUGGCGGCGUGCCUAAUACAUGCAAGUCGAGCGAACAGAUGAGGAGCUUGCUCCUCUGACGUUAGCGGCGGACGGGUGAGUAACACGUGGAUAACCUACCUAUAAGACUGGGAUAACUACGGGAAACCGGAGCUAAUACCGGAUAAUAUAUUGAACCGCAUGGUUCAAUAGUGAAAGACGGUUUUGCUGUCACUUAUAGAUGGAUCCGCGCCGCAUUAGCUAGUUGGUAAGGUACGGCUUACCAAGGCAACGAUGCGUAGCCGACCUGAGAGGGUGAUCGGCCACACUGGAACUGAGACACGGUCCAGACUCCUACGGGAGGCAGCAGUAGGGAAUCUUCCGCAAUGGGCGAAAGCCUGACGGAGCAACGCCGCGUGAGUGAUGAAGGUCUUCGGAUCGUAAAACUCUGUUAUUAGGGAAGAACAAAUGUGUAAGUAACUAUGCACGUCUUGACGGUACCUAAUCAGAAAGCCACGGCUAACUACGUG
Molecule: ribosomal RNA, 496 nt
Filed under: uncultured bacterium
Lineage: Bacteria
Description: partial 16S ribosomal RNA
Rfam family: Bacterial small subunit ribosomal RNA
Source: RNAcentral